AGCUGGUCUGAAGGUAGUGAGUUAUCUCAGUUGAGUGUUCACAGUCAGUUGCAGGUUGAACUCCUGUUCCACACUUUCCCCUCUUCUCACUACUGCACUUGACUAGUCUUAA
Molecule: unclassified non-coding RNA, 112 nt
Organism: Peromyscus maniculatus bairdii (prairie deer mouse)
Lineage: Eukaryota; Metazoa; Chordata; Mammalia; Rodentia; Cricetidae
Rfam family: Y RNA
About the family: Y RNAs are components of the Ro ribonucleoprotein particle (Ro RNP), in association with Ro60 and La proteins.
Source: Ensembl